UUAAAUUGAAGAGUUUGAUCAUGGCUCAGAUUGAACGCUGGCGGCAGGCCUAACACAUGCAAGUCGAACGGUAACAGGAAGAAGCUUGCUUCUUUGCUGA
Molecule: ribosomal RNA, 100 nt
Filed under: Escherichia coli
Lineage: Bacteria; Pseudomonadati; Pseudomonadota; Gammaproteobacteria; Enterobacterales; Enterobacteriaceae
Description: partial 16S ribosomal RNA
Rfam family: Bacterial small subunit ribosomal RNA
Source: RNAcentral